RNAcentral lists this ribosomal RNA (293 nucleotides) under uncultured bacterium. RNAcentral's name for it is "partial 16S ribosomal RNA". It matches the Rfam family "Bacterial small subunit ribosomal RNA", at positions 775 to 1067 of the family's 1533-position model. The record is from RNAcentral.
GGAUUAGAUACCCUGGUAGUCCACGCCGUAAACUAUGCAUACAAGCUGUAGUGGAAUUUUAUUCUGCUGUGGCGAAGCUAACGCAAUUAGUAUGCCGCCUGGGGAGUACGGUCGCAAGACUAAAACUCAAAGGAAUUGACGGGGGCCCGCACAAGCGGUGGAUUAUGUGGUUUAAUUCGAAGCAACGCGCAGAACCUUACCUAGGUUUGACAUCCCACGACAAACGUAGAAAUACGUCUUUGUAGCAAUACACGUGGAGACAGGUGCUGCAUGGCUGUCGUCAGCUCGUGCCG